Molecule: long non-coding RNA, 4284 nt
Filed under: Homo sapiens (human)
Lineage: Eukaryota; Metazoa; Chordata; Mammalia; Primates; Hominidae
Description: HSALNT0225586
Source: RNAcentral
GACAGGGAAAGACUUUGAAAUGGGCAGAAAAGAUUACGGGAUGUCCUGCAGGUUCAGUGUGCUUUGGCCUAUUUUUCAACUGUCUAAAUUUUCGCCGCCAAAGUCGCCAAAACCGCCUUCGCCGCAGCUGCAGCCAAAGCCUCCUCCUCCUCCUCUUCCUUCUCUCUCCUCCCUCACCUCCUCCUUCCUUCUAGGAAGCUUACUGGAGUGAAACUUGAACGUUUUCAAAAAAAAAUCAUUAACGCAAAUGAUUCUUGUCCAAAGAAACAGAAAUAAUAGAAGUGUGAAGGGGCGUGGGAGGGGGUUGAGAUGUGCCGCGUUCAGGCCCGGGGCACCGGCGAGGGUGGGCGUGUGAGCGGGGGGUGGGGGCGUUAACGGUGUCUUCUCCCCACAAAUGAAAGAGAAAUAGUAAAUUCUCCUGCGGGUGGCGAAUCAGGAGGGAAGGUGGAGCCCACAAUCUUUGCAAACUCUCUGGGGAGCCAGGGGUUGGUAGCUGGGAAGACUUGGGUGGUGACCCUGGGGGAGGGGAAGGGGCCGGGGAGCGGGGAAUGGGGGCAGCCCCUGGGGAGGAAUGGGAGAGGGAGGAGGACGCCAGGGGCACAGGGACAGCCUCCGGGGCGGGGCGCGGCGCCAGCCUAGCCCGAGGAUGGAGGCUGAGGCCGCCUGUUGAGUCACAGGUAAGGGGAGCCGCUCUGGCCAGGCCCAGGGCCGCCCUCGUUCCUCCCGGAGCGCAGCGACAGCUCCUCCCCGCGUCUCGGGUUUCAAUGGCUGGGCCUGCCCGAAAGCUCUGGGCCCCCGCGUCCCAAUUUUUUCUUUAUUUUUGAAGGAUAAUAUUGCUGGACAUAGAAUUCUUUGUUGACAUUGGUCAGCUCUUUGAAUAUGUCAUCCAGUAUCUUCUGGCCUCCGUGGUUUAUGGUAUGUAGUCCUGGAGGGCGCUGCUUAAUGAACCAGAAGUCCUGCCUCUUAAGUACCUCACCAGCUCAAAUGUGUGCAUGUCACCUUGGCGUGAAUCGGAGCAGGCGCUGGUGGAUACCGUUUGGAGGCAUGCCAGCAAGGAGCUCCUUGUGUAGCCUGCCUCUGGAGCCUCAAGUUCAACUUCCAUAGGGCCAAAAGGGGAGUCGGGCUGGGCAGAAGCUCCUGAGAACCAAAGCAAAUGGUCUGAGAGUCUGAGAGUGUAGUGGAGGUAACGUGUUCGUGUCCUCUCUGGCUGCAUCACCCCAAGUCCUUGCAGACUCAAGUAGCCUAUUUGCAAGUUUAAAUAGUUUGAGUCCUGGCCGGUAACAAGAAUACUCUACAGUGGCCCAGAGUCAGGGAUAUAGAGUGGCGACUACUUGGCAGAACUGGAGCUUGCUCAGAUGAAAAGAUAAAUUGUACUGGUUAAACGAAGAUCAAGUGCAGGGUCUGGACUUUGUUUCUAUCUUUCAUGUGGACUCUAUAAGCACCUACACACAGCAUUCUAGAAACACUGCUCCCAUCCCUCCUGUCUCAUGUCAUCCUCCCAAUUCCGGGAGUUGGGGGGCAUACUCUUUCCCUGUGUCAUGUGAGAAAUUCCUUUCUCAUGGGAAGCAGGUGGCAUUCCUGGACUCUCCUUGGCCUGGCCGUUGGUAAGCACAGGAAUUCAAGGUGUCUGAAUCUCUUGUCAAAGGUGGGCUGUAAGGCUCCAGAAGAGGAGGACAGAAAGUGCCUGCAGAGCUCCUGCCUGAGGCCUUUGGAUGGGCCCUGCUGGCUUGCCGUGUGUGUGUGUGUGUGUGUGUGUGUGUGUGUGUGUGUGUGGUGUCGUGCUUAUUUGCCCCAAAUGAGGCAAGAGAGCAGUGAUCAGGUGUCUCCCCAGCAUCUAGUUUCAUGAAGACAAUAGAAGUGGGUCGGAUCAGGCCUGCUGCCAUGCUUGGCUUGCCCAUGUCUCCUAGGAUUGGCUGCCUGGUGGCCAUCCCUUUGCCAUCCCCUUGACUGCCCUGUGAAUGAUGUCCACUCUGAGACCCCAGGCCACUCAGAAAAACUGAAGAUUCUCAAGUUCAGGUGCAGUUAGGGGGCAGGUCCUGGUGGUGGGGGAGCUUUGAUGUUCUGCAGUUGGAGGAUCCUCUUUCAGAAUAGUAAUGCAAUUUGUGAAUUAAUAAAAUUAGGUAUGCAAGAGGAUAUGUAGAAAAGAAAAAUCACAAGCUACACAAUUUUUAAGUUGACAAAACUACGAACAUCACAAAAUAAUAUGAUAUUUUAAAUUAAUUAUCUGCCUGGAAUACUCUGUCAUUUUUUUUUGAUCUUUUGCCUGCAUCGUCUUUGAUAGCAGUGUUUUUGAUAUUGCUUUUUAUAGAGAGACUCAAGAUAAUGGAGUCUACUCUGUUGUGGUUAAUUAAACAUUUUUUGGUGUUAUUCAUAGUUUGAGAUGUUUCUUUUAGCUUCUCAACCUGCUAUACAGAUAAAAAGCACUUUCAUGUCAGGUAAAUAUUUAGAAUUGUUGCCAAAUUUUAAAUUUCCUCCAUCAAUUUUCUUUCAUAUGUCAUAUAUGAGUUGUGAGAUUUGGAAGGAUAUUUCAGACCAGCUUCUGUAUCUAUUUUUUUCUCUAAUCACAUGCUACUGGUGGUGUGGACAGUAGUAGCACAUGACCAUAUCAGGACAUGAUCUAUCUUGGUGUCAUGGCUCUCAGUGAGUCUGCUUGGAGGGUAGUAGAAGUAUCCCUGGACGUCAUUCCUACACCAGGACAGCAAUAACUUAGCUCUCCAAGGAAGUUACUGUGAACCACAUGCACAUAUUCUACUCAAGUCAAUGUGCCCCCAACUCAAUUUGUCCUUAGCUAGACCCCAAAAGUUCUCAUGGGGAGUCUCACUCCCCUUCCACUUAACAUGAUGGAAGGCCUGAUUGGAGGGGGGCGUCAGCAGUGGGAAGAGACACAGCCUUCACUGAUUGCAGCUAAAAUGUCUUACUUUUGAAAAUAGGACAAAAACAUAUGACCAUGUGCAUAUACUGCUGAAGCCCCUCCCUGGGCCAUGCAAGGUGCCUAUGUGAGUGCAAGUGAGAUGCCCGGAAGUGUAAGUUUCAUCUGCUCAGGAAAGGGCCAGGUAUUGCCUGGUAUCACAUUCCAGGGGAAAGGAAGAGACAGUCAAGGCCUUAUGGCUCUUAACUUUGAUCUUAGUGCUUCGUAUUUUCCAUUCUGCAUGAUACAAAAACAGAUUUAAAUCAUGUUCUAGAUAGAGAUGAAAAGCAUUUUCACUUUUGGCAGGUCGUGGAACAUCAAUCAAUAUUUGUUAAUUGGUUGAACUGGAUGCAUAAUUGGAAAGCUAAUGGAAGGAGAUAUGUUUUACAAGGAAGGGCCCUUGGUGAUCACUGAUUAGUCAUUUUUACAGAUAGCAAAGCCAGGAAGGGGAAUGACUGUCUGAAGGUGGCAGUGAAUGACAGAGCUGAGGCCCAUGGCAAGGUGCACUAGUACACUCUGCCUUUGCAUGACUGUAAGCAAUUAAAGUCUCAUCAGAAGUCAUUGUGAGUUAAUACACGGAGCAAAUAUAGGUGCAGAUGUCUAGAAGCAACAAUGGCAUUUACAGUGAAGCCAAACAUUGAAGGUUUACUGUAAAAUGUUGCACUGAAUUCUUUAUAUACACCUGUUUUGGUUAGUCAUUAUUCUCUCCAGUCUGUGGGUUACAUGCCCCUUGCUGACCCACAGUACCAUGCCACAAGAUAGGCAGUGUAUUGGCCAGGUGCACACCUGGCAAAAGUCUACUCUGCUUAGGUUCAGCUGUGGAUGGGUUCUGUGCGCCUUGGAUGGGGUCGUGAAAACUGUGGGACUACAGGACUGGGCUUGUGGGCAGAAGAGUCAUAGGGCACUCUGCCUAGGAAAAGGGAAAGGGGCCUGUUCCUACCAGGUGCUCUGCGGAGUGUCCACACUGCAGGGAAAGGCUCAGGUCUGAAUAGGAGGUGCAGACUUUGUGUCUACAGGACCCUGCAAACCUGAGGCCUUGUGGAGGUUUGGUCAAGAUGGAGAGGCCAGUUAGCGGCGUACCAUGGGCUAGACUGUCCAUGACGUGGAGUAAAAGGCAGCUAUUGGCACUGAGCUAACAACAGUGGGAGGUGGGGCCUCAGUGGAAGUGGAUUGCUUGCUUCUCAUCCUGCCUCCAACACUUGGUACCCACAUGACCCUGCACAAGGAACCUGUUUGUCCCAUCUGAGCCUCUGCAUCUUGGGCUGUCAAAAGCCAAGAAAAAAAAAUUGUAAGACUGAUCUCAUAGGGUCGUUACGAGAAUUAAAUGAGAUAAUCCAUGUAAAGCAACUGACAUGUAAAAAUAACAAUAAUGAAAG